AUUGAACGCUGGCGGCAGGCCUAACACAUGCAAGUCGAGCGGAUGAUGAGAGCUUGCUCUCUGAUUCAGCGGCGGACGGGUGAGUAAUGCCUAGGAAUCUGCCUGGUAGUGGGGGACAACGUCUCGAAAGGGACGCUAAUACCGCAUACGUCCUACGGGAGAAAGCAGGGGACCUUCGGGCCUUGCGCUAUCAGAUGAGCCUAGGUCGGAUUAGCUAGUUGGUGAGGUAAUGGCUCACCAAGGCGACGAUCCGUAACUGGUCUGAGAGGAUGAUCAGUCACACUGGAACUGAGACACGGUCCAGACUCCUACGGGAGGCAGCAGUGGGGAAUAUUGGACAAUGGGCGAAAGCCUGAUCCAGCCAUGCCGCGUGUGUGAAGAAGGUCUUCGGAUUGUAAAGCACUUUAAGUUGGGAGGAAGGGCAGUAAAUUAAUACUUUGCUGUUUUGACGUUACCGACAGAAUAAGCACCGGCUAACUCUGUGCCAGCAGCCGCGGUAAUACAGAGGGUGCAAGCGUUAAUCGGAAUUACUGGGCGUAAAGCGCGCGUAGGUGGUUUGUUAAGUUGGAUGUGAAAUCCCCGGGCUCAACCUGGGAACUGCAUUCAAAACUGACAAGCUAGAGUAUGGUAGAGGGUGGUGGAAUUUCCUGUGUAGCGGUGAAAUGCGUAGAUAUAGGAAGGAACACCAGUGGCGAAGGCGACCACCUGGACUGAUACUGACACUGAGG
Molecule: ribosomal RNA, 728 nt
Filed under: Enterobacter sp.
Lineage: Bacteria; Pseudomonadati; Pseudomonadota; Gammaproteobacteria; Enterobacterales; Enterobacteriaceae
Also listed under: 1 other name
Description: bacterial SSU rRNA
Rfam family: Bacterial small subunit ribosomal RNA
Source: RNAcentral